RNAcentral lists this ribosomal RNA (439 nucleotides) under uncultured bacterium. RNAcentral describes it as "partial 16S ribosomal RNA". It matches the Rfam family "Bacterial small subunit ribosomal RNA", at positions 339 to 795 of the family's 1533-position model. The record is from RNAcentral.
CUACGGGGCGCUCCAGUGAGGAAUAUUGCACAAUGGGGGGAACCCUGACGCAGCAACGCCGCGUGGAGGAUGACGCAUUUCGGUGUGUAAACUCCUUUUAUAUGUCAAGAAAAUGACGGUAGCAUAUGAAUAAGCACCGGCUAACUCCGUGCCAGCAGCCGCGGUAAUACGGAGGGUGCAAGCGCUACUCGGAAUCACUGGGCGUAAAGGACGCGUAGGCGGGUUGGAAAGUCAGGUGUGAAAUCCUACAGCUUAACUGUAGAACUGCACUUGAAACUUCUAAUCUAGAGUAUGGGAGGGGGAGACGGAAUUAGUGGUGUAGGGGUAAAAUCCGUAGAUAUCACUAGGAAUACCUAAAGCGAAGGCGAUCUCCUGGAACAUUACUGACGCUAAGGCGUGAAAGCGUGGGGAGCAAACAGGAUUAGAUACCCUAGUAGUC